GCGUGGGCGGCUACGGCGGUGGUGUAGCGUCCGACUGUAAAUCGGAUCCCUUUGAGGCAAACAUUGCUGGUUCGAAUCCAGCCCCACGCACCA
This 93-nucleotide transfer RNA is filed under the name Rhodopseudomonas sp. BR0C11. Its description in RNAcentral is "tRNA-Tyr". The stretch from base 16 to 90 matches the Rfam family "tRNA". From Rfam's summary of the family: Transfer RNA (tRNA) molecules are approximately 80 nucleotides in length. Their secondary structure includes four short double-helical elements and three loops (D, anti-codon, and T loops). Further hydrogen bonds mediate the characteristic L-shaped molecular structure. tRNAs have two regions of fundamental functional importance: the anti-codon, which is responsible for specific mRNA codon recognition, and the 3' end, to which the tRNAs corresponding amino acid is attached (by aminoacyl-tRNA synthetases). tRNAs cope with the degeneracy of the genetic code in two manners: having more than one tRNA (with a specific anti-codon) for a particular amino acid; and 'wobble' base-pairing, i.e. permitting non-standard base-pairing at the 3rd anti-codon position. The record is from RNAcentral. Lineage: Bacteria; Pseudomonadati; Pseudomonadota; Alphaproteobacteria; Hyphomicrobiales; Nitrobacteraceae.